RNAcentral lists this ribosomal RNA (253 nucleotides) under uncultured bacterium. RNAcentral describes it as "partial 16S ribosomal RNA". It matches the Rfam family "Bacterial small subunit ribosomal RNA", at positions 524 to 776 of the family's 1533-position model. The record is from RNAcentral.
UACAGAGGUCCCAAGCGUUGUUCGGAUUCACUGGGCGUAAAGGGUGCGUAGGUGGCUUGGUAAGUCUGAUGUGAAAUCUCGGAGCCUAACUCCGAAACUGCAUCGGAUACUAUUAAGCUAGAGGUCUGGAGGGGAGACUGGAAUUCUCGGUGUAGCAGUGAAAUGCGUAGAUAUCGAGAGGAACGCCAAUGGCGAAGGCUAGUCUCUGGACAGAUCCUGACACUGAGGCACGAAAGCUAGGGGAGCAAACAGG